GCGAUUCAUUCUGCAAGGCACUUUACAAAGAUACAUUCAGCAUUGUUGAGUUGGGCUGAAGAAGAAUUCUGCACUGCAUAGAUUUGGCGUGUGACUCGAGUUGAAGGAAAAGGCUUAUGCUGGUGAGACUUGUUGAAGAGGCUACAGGACUUCCAUGAGCUGGCAUACGCUUCCCCAGGUUGCAACGCCAAUAAGUUCAAGCAAGCACAUCAAAUGUCAAGCAAACAUCGAAUACUGCAACAAUUUUUUCCUCAUUGAAA
Molecule: long non-coding RNA, 260 nt
Filed under: Monodelphis domestica (gray short-tailed opossum)
Lineage: Eukaryota; Metazoa; Chordata; Mammalia; Didelphimorphia; Didelphidae
Description: lncRNA (ENSMODG00000038254.1)
Source: RNAcentral